ACAUUUCGGUAGGUGAGGUUACCACAGGGAUUUGGUUUGAUUCCUUAAGAUUGCUGCCGCGGAAUUGUGGAGACACAAUGAGCUGGUUAGCAGGAUAUGUCGUGAAGGCAUAACCUAAUGCAAUUAUUACGCCCUGUGAUGCUAAAGCUUGAACGGUG
RNAcentral lists this small RNA (158 nucleotides) under uncultured Mediterraneibacter sp. RNAcentral's name for it is "M-box riboswitch (ykoK leader)". It matches the Rfam family "M-box riboswitch aptamer (ykoK leader)", at positions 11 to 156 of the family's 169-position model. From Rfam's summary of the family: M-box riboswitch, also know as ykoK leader is described as a metaloregulatory RNA that sense divalent metals and function as a genetic control element of genes related to divalent metal transport in bacteria. The record is from RNAcentral. Lineage: Bacteria; Bacillati; Bacillota; Clostridia; Lachnospirales; Lachnospiraceae.